Molecule: long non-coding RNA, 454 nt
Filed under: Homo sapiens (human)
Lineage: Eukaryota; Metazoa; Chordata; Mammalia; Primates; Hominidae
Description: non-protein coding lnc-JCAD-11:1
Source: RNAcentral
CCUGAGGUUCACAUCACCCUAUUGUGUGAGCACGUGCAUGCUGCUGUUUGAACCCAGGCAUGAAAUACUUGAAGGUGAUUGCGAUGCCCUGACCAGGCUCUUCUCUUCCAAUACUCUGCCAUGUUCCCUGUUUGUUUUAACCUGUAGGAAGAAGGAGGAGUUGCGGAUGAUAGUGCCAUUUCUAAUCUGCUUUGGCGGGUCACAGAAAGUCGAGAGAGCCAAAUGACGAUUGAGGAGAGGAAGCAGCUCAUCACUGUGAGAGAGGAGGCCUGGAAGACGAGAGGCAGAGGAGCGGCCAACGACUCGACCCAGUUCACUGUGGCUGGCAGGAUGGUGAAGAAAGGUUUGGCGUCACCUACUGCCAUAACCCCAGUAGCCUCACCCAUUUGCGGUAAAACAAGAGGCACCACACCCGUUUCCAAACCCCUGGAAGAUAUCGAAGCCAGACCAGAUA